UGGGGAAUCUUGCGCAAUGGCCGAAAGGCUGACGCAGCGACGCCGCGUGGAGGAUGACGCCCUUCGGGGUGUAAACUCCUGUUGCCCGGGACGAAUACCCGUUUCGACGGGGGUGACGGUACCGGGUGAGGAAGCACCGGCUAACUCUGUGCCAGCAGCCGCGGUAAUACAGAGGGUGCGAGCGUUGUCCGGAAUCACUGGGCGUAAAGGGCGCGUAGGCGGCUGGGUAAGCGGGUGGUGAAAGCCCGGGGCUCAACCCCGGGUCGGCCAUGCGAACUGUCCAGCUGGAGCACGGUAGAGGCACAUGGAAUUCCGGGUGUAGCGGUGGAAUGCGUAGAGAUCCGGAAGAACACCGGUGGCGAAGGCGGUGUGCUGGGCCGUGGCUGACGCUGAGGCGCGACAGCGUGGGGAGCAAACA
RNAcentral lists this ribosomal RNA (418 nucleotides) under uncultured bacterium. RNAcentral describes it as "bacterial SSU rRNA". It matches the Rfam family "Bacterial small subunit ribosomal RNA", at positions 355 to 774 of the family's 1533-position model. The record is from RNAcentral.